Molecule: long non-coding RNA, 349 nt
Filed under: Musa acuminata (dwarf banana)
Lineage: Eukaryota; Viridiplantae; Streptophyta; Magnoliopsida; Zingiberales; Musaceae
Description: long non-coding RNA (MACU_LNC011059)
Source: RNAcentral
UCGGACCGGUUGGACAUCCCCUGGUGGGUGGCCCCCAAUCUUGGCAGGGGGCAACAACCAGAGAUUGCUGACGUCUUACAUUCUGGCAUCAACCAAUUGUGAGAGAUACCCAUAGUAUUCUUUGGCUUUCUCAUUGUGCUCUUUAGGCGUCGAGGUUAGUUAGCAAGGCAAGUUGAGACUCAGUGUGCUCUGGAUCGAGGGUCAAUUCAUUGUGCUAUGACGUGACUCACUAUAUUUCCACGUCGCUAGUCAAAGUAAAAGUCAGCGUCGUCAUCGCCCCGUGUGCUAUCGAGGAGACUCAUCUUGCCACGUCAUUGGUCUACACAGAAGUCAUGAUCGUCGUUAUCAU